RNAcentral lists this ribosomal RNA (497 nucleotides) under uncultured bacterium. Its description in RNAcentral is "partial 16S ribosomal RNA". It matches the Rfam family "Bacterial small subunit ribosomal RNA", at positions 28 to 507 of the family's 1533-position model. The record is from RNAcentral.
GACGAACGCUGGCGGCGUGCCUAAUACGUGCGAGUAGAACGCUGAAGAGAGGAGCUUGCUCUUCUUGGAUGAGUUGCGAACGGGUGAGUAACGCGUAGGUAACCUGCCUUGUAGCGGGGGAUAACUAUUGGAAACGAUAGCUAAUACCGCAUAACAAUGGAUGACACAUGUCAUUUAUUUGAAAGGGGCAAUUGCUCCACUACAAGAUGGACCUGCGUUGUAUUAGCUAGUAGGUGAGGUAAUGGCUCACCUAGGCGACGAUACAUAGCCGACCUGAGAGGGUGAUCGGCCACACUGGGACUGAGACACGGCCCAGACUCCUACGGGAGGCAGCAGUAGGGAAUCUUCGGCAAUGGGGGCAACCCUGACCGAGCAACGCCGCGUGAGUGAAGAAGGGUUUCGGAUCGUAAAGCUCUGUUGUAAGUCAAGAACGGGUGUGAGAGUGGAAAGUUCACACUGUGACGGUAGCUUACCAGAAAGGGACGGCUAACUACGUG